AUUAAGAGUAUAUGGCGGAUGCCUUGACAUAAGAGAACGAUGAAGGACGUAGCAGCCUGCGAUAAGCUUCGGUGAGGUGGCAAGCAACCCUUGACCCGAAGAUUUCCGAAUGGGGAAACCUCCCCGGUUGUAGACCGGGGGUCCGCUGGCUGAACACAUAAGCCAGUGAGACGAUUACCCGGUGAAUUGAAACAUCUUAGUAGCCGGAGGAAAAGAAAAAAAGCCUGAGCAAUCAGGAAUAUUCCGUGAGUAGUGGCGAGCGAAAACGGAGGAGUCUAAACCGAUUUAACCGCGUCGCGUGGUGCACUUGUGCAUUUUACGCGACAGAAGGAUUCAGGUCCAUAUGUUUUUUCGGUGUUGCAAGAAUAUGCUUUCAUUUCCUGUAUUAAAUGGGGCAGAGACAUAACAAUAACAUCCCUAGUUGAAGCGAGCUGGAAAGCUCCGCCAGAGAAGGUGAAAGCCCUGUAACAGCAAAAGGGGUUAUUGCUCUGCGGCAUAUCUCUUAAGUACUGCGGGACUCGUGAAAUCCCGUGGGAAGCCGGGUCGACUAUGACCCAAGACUAAAUAUCUCUUAUGAUCGAUAGUGAACAAGUACCGUGAGGGAAAGGUGAAAAGCAGCCCGGUGAGGGCGGUGAAAUAGUACCUGAAACCAUAUACUUACAAGGAGUUGGAGCCCCGGUUCGCCGGGGUGACAGCGUGCCUAUUGAAGAAUGAGCCAACGAGUUUGUUCUAUGUGGCUUGACUAAGUUCCGUUUGGAAUGGAGUCGAAGUGAAAGCGAGGGUUAAUAGCCCGUAUCCACUUAUUUUGCAGAUACCAGGCCUUCUGGUGGCUGCAAAAUAACGUGGAAUGUCGCAUGGACAAGACCCGAAGCCGGGUGAUCUAGCCAUGGCCAGGUUGAAGUAGUACGAAAGUACUAUGGAGGACCGAACCCACAAGCCGUUCAAUACUUGGGGAUGAGCUGUGGCUGGCGGAGAAAUUCCAAUCGAACUCGGCAAUAGCUGGUUCUCCUCGAAAUAGCUUUAGGGCUAGCGUCGGAUGCUGACUACUGGGGGUAGAGCACUGAAUGAGACAGGGGCCGCAAGGUACCCUUCUUAACCAAACUCCGAAUACCAGUAGGUGAAGUCCGGCAGUCAGACUAUGGGGGCUAAGCUUCAUCAGUCAAAAGGGAAACAGCCCAGACCGCAAUCUAAGGUCCCAAAAUAUAUGCUAAGUGUAAAAGGUGGUGUCGCGACUGCGACAACUAGGAGGUUGGCUUAGAAGCAGCCAUCCUUUAAAGAUAGCGUAAUAGCUCACUAGUCUAGUUGUCUCGCGCCGAAAAUGUACCGGGGCUAAGCAUAUUACCGAAGAUGCGGGCCAGCUAUGCUGGUAGACACGAAGAAAACGAAAAAUUACGAAAAAAACGAAAAAUAUUAGUUUCGUUACUUUCGUUUAAUUUCGUUAAGUUUCGUGUUUACCAGCAUAGCUGGCGGUAGAGGAGCAUUCUAUACGCGCAGAAGCCGAAUUGUGAAGUUUGGUGGAGCUUAUAGAAGAGAGAAUGUUGGCAUGAGUAGCAAAAAGGCGGGUGAGAACCCCGCCCACCGUAAGUCUCAGGGUUCCUGGGCAACGUAAAUCGUCCCAGGGUUAGUCGGUCCUAAGGCGAGGCCUCUGUAGUGGGGGCGUAGUGCGCGAUCCAGGCAAAUCCGGAUCAACAGCGCGGAGAAAUCGACUAAAGAUGAAGCCUCGGCGGAUUCAAAUAAGCAAAAGAGCUGCCUAGAAAAACCUCUAGGGCUAAGGCUGCAGCAACCGUACCGCAAACCAACACAGGUAGACGAGGCGAGUAGCCUCAGGUGAACGAGAGAAUCUUCGUUAAGGAACUCGGCAAAACAGCGGCCGUAAUUUAGAGAUAAGGCCUGCCCAUAGCAAUAUGGGCCGCAGCUAAAGAAGCCCGAGCGACUGUUUAUCAAAAACACAGCUCCCUGCUAACUCGUAAGAGGAUGUAUAGGGGGUGACGCCUGGCCAGUGUCCGAACGUUAAGGGGAGAGGUUAGACCUUCGGGUUGAAGCUUUGAACUGAAGCGCGGAUGAACGCCGGCCGUAACUAUAACGGUCCUAAGGUAGCGAAAUUCCUUGUCAGGUAAGUUCUGACCUGCACGAAUGGCGUAACGACUUGGGUACUGUCUCAACGAAGAACUCGGCGAAAUUGCAAGACGAGUAAAGAUGCUCGUUAACCAUAGCUGGACGAAAAGACCCCGUGAAGCUUUACUAUAGCUUAAUAUUGGGUUAUGACUAUGCAUGUUCAGAAUAGGUGGGAGCCGCAAGGCAACAGUGAGAUACCACCCUUGUAUAUUUGUAACCCUAACCCUCAGGCCUUGAAUCAGGUCAGGGGACAGUAUUUGGUGGGUAGUUUGUCUGGGGCGGAUGCCUCCCAAAGAGUAACGGAGGCGUUUACAAAGGUUGGCUAUCCCGGAAUGGAAACCCGGGAGAUAGUGUAAAGGCAAAAGCCAGCUUUACUGCAAGACCAGCAAGUCGAGCAGUUGCGAAAGCAGAACUUAGUGAUCCGACCGUUCGAUAUAGGACGGCGGAAGCUCAUCGGAUAAAAGCUACUCCGGGGAUAACAGGCUAGUCACGCCCAGUCGUAAGACAGGUCGGUCUCCUAUCCACUAUGGUCGUGGAAACUUGAGAAGGCUCUUCCCUAGUACGAGAGGACCGGGAAGGACGAAGCUCUAGUGUGCCGGCUGUCCCACCAGGGGCAUUGCCGGGUAGCUACCUUCGGUUUGGAUAAGCGCUGAAGGCAUAUAAGCGCGAAGCCGUCUUCAAGAUUAGGUUUCAUAGAGUCGUCGGAGAACACGACGUUAAUAGGCUCUAGGUGUAAGUGCAGUAAUGCAUUCAGCCGAGGAGUACUAAUCACUCAAAUGAUUU
RNAcentral lists this ribosomal RNA (2898 nucleotides) under Candidatus Falkowbacteria bacterium GW2011_GWE1_38_31. RNAcentral's name for it is "bacterial LSU rRNA". It matches the Rfam family "Bacterial large subunit ribosomal RNA". Lineage: Bacteria; Candidatus Falkowiibacteriota. The record is from RNAcentral. RNAcentral also lists the same sequence under 1 other name.